AUUCUAGUAGCUUAACCACAAAGCACUGGUCUUGUAAACCAGAGAUUGAAGACUUACAAUCUUCCUAGAGUA
This 72-nucleotide transfer RNA is filed under the name Heosemys grandis. Its description in RNAcentral is "tRNA-Thr". It matches the Rfam family "tRNA". Rfam says of the family: Transfer RNA (tRNA) molecules are approximately 80 nucleotides in length. Their secondary structure includes four short double-helical elements and three loops (D, anti-codon, and T loops). Lineage: Eukaryota; Metazoa; Chordata; Testudines; Geoemydidae. The record is from RNAcentral.